This 357-nucleotide long non-coding RNA is filed under the name Fukomys damarensis (Damara mole-rat). RNAcentral describes it as "lncRNA (ENSFDAG00000024125.1)". Lineage: Eukaryota; Metazoa; Chordata; Mammalia; Rodentia; Bathyergidae. The record is from RNAcentral.
CGUUCUAAGAUACAGUCACAUAAGGCUUUCAUAGUUGCUUCUUAUGUUCUACUGAUGACCCUGGGGAAGUCAGAAUCUCUGAUACACAGGAAGCAUGUUCUCUGGCUCCUGUGUCCCUGGUGAUACAAAGCAUGCCAGCCACUGCCACAAAGGCUGAAGAUGGAUUCUGCCCAAUGAGCAGAAUGUAGCUCUACAAUGAAGGCACAAGAACUGGGAACAACUUUGAGUCUCUGACUCCUCAGGCUGGCAAAGGCAGGGAAUACUGCUGAGGUUUUACUCUCAAGCUCCAAGGGAAAGGGAUACUGAAUGUGGAAAAAUGCAGCACCCCCCUAUUGGACAAGCAGAACCAUACACCAC